This 196-nucleotide long non-coding RNA is filed under the name Sitophilus oryzae (rice weevil). Its description in RNAcentral is "uncharacterized LOC115877276". The record is from RNAcentral. Lineage: Eukaryota; Metazoa; Arthropoda; Insecta; Coleoptera; Curculionidae.
UUUGAUUAUUUACUUGGGUUAGGAUAUUAAAAUAUUGGUUGGAUUGUACGACAUAAAUAGAUGUAGUUUUUGAUCAGACAUUUGAUUUUAUUUGUGAAAUGCCCACAAAAAAGGCUUCCAAUGAUUCAACAUCAGUGUGUUUGCUGCAUAAUGGGUCAUUCCUGCUGAAUUUUUAGAUCAUUUGAAGACUACACGG